Molecule: long non-coding RNA, 1560 nt
Organism: Thamnophis elegans (Western terrestrial garter snake)
Lineage: Eukaryota; Metazoa; Chordata; Lepidosauria; Squamata; Natricidae
Exons: 3
Source: RefSeq, a predicted model, not a curated record
ACCGAGCGGGGAGGACGAGGAGGAGGAGGAGGAGGAGAAGAGCGUAAUUGUUGCUUUGAAAUAAGAUUAAAGAAUUCGUCGGAAGUUUGAUUCGGAUUGAUGAAGAUGAUCCUGACCUGUUAUCGAAGUCAGGAUUACAACUCACACAGACGGACUUUCAGAGCAAGUCUCAGACGGAUUAAUUGUUGCUUUGAAAUAAGAUUAAAGAAUUCGUCGGAAGUUUGAUUCGGAUUGAUGAAGAUGAUCCUGACCUGUUAUCGAAGUCAGGAUUACAACUCACACAGACGGACUUUCAGAGCAAGUCACAGAUGGAUGUAAGCUCUCUGCAUAAUGAAGGUGGAGUUAUAAAUGCUCCAAAUUUACAAUAAAAAUCUUUUGACCAGCAAUAGGCCGGUGCAGUAUGUUCUGUGCCUUGUAGUAGGCUACACCUGAAUGCUUGAGUAAGACACUAUGAAAACCUUUCUUAAUCGACUGGAAAAUGCACUGAAAUUAAAUUCAAUCACAGAUAUUAUUGGCCUAUUGGUAAAGCUCAAGUUCUAUUAGGACCCUUCUUCUCCAUUCUGUGUGUAUCUUAUGAUACAUUUGUACCAUUUUCAAAGCAAUUGGAGAUUUCCUUGGGCCAAAAAUAUGCCUUGAAAUCAGCAUGUUAACAGCAGAAAGAUGUACUAAAGCAAAAAAGGAGCAUAUUUAAGAAAAAAAAUAUCUUUCUUCUAUUCCGUAUUCUGCUGCUUUUCUUCUCCAAAUGGUGGCCUCCAACAGCUAACUGCCAUUUUAAAAUUCAACCAUCCAUUUAUUUUUGAAGGCUCAGAAUAUUCUUAAUAAUUUUUACAUUAUUUUGAUUUCUUCUUGCACACUUAUCUUUUUAAGCAUUCAUUAAUAACAAGCUGAACAUGAAUCAGGAGUGUGGGACAUCUCAUAGAAGCCAAUAGAAAGUGCACAGCUCAGUUGUAAAUGUAUUGCAGAAUCCAUGACAUUUGGAGGGAUGGAAUGAUAGUGUUACUAAGCAACGGUGUAGCUCAUUCUUAGCUGAAAUCUGAGAUACUACAUCCCUGCAGUAGUUGCAUGAAUGAGAUAAUUGGGAUUGGCACCCUCCAGGUGGGAUGGGACAGCUUUCCACGGCUAACUCAACACAGGAUAACUAAAUGUGAGAUAACAGUACUGUUAUGCAACAUCAUUUUUGUCAUUCACAUUUCAUGUUGUCCCUCCUUUAUCAUCCUUUCUGUAAUGAUUCUAUUCCAGCAUUUCCACACUAAUAUUGAAGAAGUAUAGUACAGUUAUCUUGAGUUAUCCUGCAUUGAAUUAGCCCACGGGGAGUUGGCCACAGGAAGUUGGCCAUGGGGAGUUGCCCCAACUUGAGUUGCCUGGGGAAAGUCAACCGGAGCAAGAUGGCCCUGGAGAGGUAGCCAUGGCAAAUUGUCCUAGAGAGUUUCUGGGAUGCCAUGAUUCCUUCUCUAUUGAGGUAUCACAACACAUCUGAUGUUGGUGACCUGUUUCUUGUGAUCCAGCUAAUGUAAAUGAUCCAGGGACAUGCAGUCACUAGAGGCAAGGGAGGCGGGACCU